RNAcentral lists this ribosomal RNA (255 nucleotides) under uncultured bacterium. Its description in RNAcentral is "partial 16S ribosomal RNA". It matches the Rfam family "Bacterial small subunit ribosomal RNA", at positions 524 to 776 of the family's 1533-position model. The record is from RNAcentral.
UACAGAGGUCUCAAGCGUUGUUCGGAUUCAUUGGGCGUAAAGGGUGCGUAGGCGGCGCGGUAAGUCGGGUGUGAAAUCUCGGAGCUUAACUCCGAAACUGCAUUCGAUACUGCCGUGCUUGAGGACUGGAGAGGAGACUGGAAUUUACGGUGUAGCGGUGAAAUGCGUAGAUAUCGUAAGGAAGACCAGUGGCGAAGGCGGGGUCUCUGGACAGUUCCUGACGCUGAGGCACGAAGGUCAGGGGGAGCAAACGGG